CACGUAGGGGGCAAGCGUUGUCCGGAUUUAUUGGGCGUAAAGGGCUCGUAGGCGGUUCGACAAGUCACUUGUGAAAUCUCCGGGCUUAACUCGGAACGGUCAAGUGAUACUGUCGGACUAGAGUACAGAAGGGGCAACUGGAAUUCUCGGUGUAGCGGUGAAAUGCGUAGAUAUCGAGAGGAACACCUGCGGCGAAGGCGGGUUGCUGGGCUGAUACUGACGCUGAGGCGCGAAAGCCAGGGGAGCGAACGGG
Molecule: ribosomal RNA, 253 nt
Filed under: uncultured bacterium
Lineage: Bacteria
Description: partial 16S ribosomal RNA
Rfam family: Bacterial small subunit ribosomal RNA
Source: RNAcentral